CAGAAGAUAGUUUAAUGAAGAAUAUCAGCUUUGGGAGUUGAAGGUAAAGGUUUAAGUCCUUUUUUUCUGA
This 70-nucleotide transfer RNA is filed under the name Mullerornis agilis. RNAcentral's name for it is "tRNA-Pro". It matches the Rfam family "tRNA". Rfam says of the family: Transfer RNA (tRNA) molecules are approximately 80 nucleotides in length. Their secondary structure includes four short double-helical elements and three loops (D, anti-codon, and T loops). The record is from RNAcentral. Lineage: Eukaryota; Metazoa; Chordata; Aves; Struthioniformes; Aepyornithidae.